UGGUCUUAGCUUGCUAAGGCCGAUGGCGACCGGCGCACGGGUGAGUAACACGUAUCCAACCUGCCGAUGACUCGGGGAUAGCCUUUCGAAAGAAAGAUUAAUACCUGAUGGUAUGAUGAGAUUGCAUGAUAGCAUCAUUAAAGAUUUAUCGGUGUACGAUGGGGAUGCGUUCCAUUAGGUUGUUGGCGGGGUAACGGCCCACCUAGUCUUCGAUGGAUAGGGGUUCUGAGAGGAAGGUCCCCACAUUGGAACUGAGACACGGUCCAAACUCC
This 272-nucleotide ribosomal RNA is filed under the name uncultured Bacteroides sp. RNAcentral describes it as "partial 16S ribosomal RNA". It matches the Rfam family "Bacterial small subunit ribosomal RNA", at positions 70 to 339 of the family's 1533-position model. The record is from RNAcentral. Lineage: Bacteria; Pseudomonadati; Bacteroidota; Bacteroidia; Bacteroidales; Bacteroidaceae.